Parus major (Great Tit) is the source of this 2637-nucleotide long non-coding RNA. RefSeq lists it as uncharacterized. Lineage: Eukaryota; Metazoa; Chordata; Aves; Passeriformes; Paridae. The record is from RefSeq and is a predicted model, not a curated record. The transcript is spliced from 3 exons.
CCCGCCCGGCCCCUCGGAAGGGGAGGCCUGAGGGCUGGGCCGCCGAGAGGGGAGGAGGCCGUGUGCCGGCAGCGGUGGCUCCUGCGUAUUUCCUAGGCGGGGGCGGAGGUGGGGGCUGGUCCCGGCUCCGAGCAGCCCUCGCCGGCGGCCGCCUGUGCUCUGCCCCUCUCCGUGGCCCCGUGCGGUUAGGGCUCUGCAGUGAUCGGUGCCACAGCGGGUUAUAAAUAAACACCGAAAAGCCCCCGCUGCUUACACGUCGGAGGGUUGUGUAAGACUUUCGGCUUCCUUAAAAAAAAUAUCCAAAUGAAGCCAUUGUAAUCUUCCUCUGUGAGGGAAAAAAAACCCCAAAAAACAAAAACCAACUUCAGAAACUUUCAUACAAGAGCUCAGAAAUCGGCAAACGUAUAAAAUGACCCAAACUUGGAUCUGUCACACCUCAUGAUUGUUGAGCUAAAAUUGAUAACUAGGGGCCCUCUGACGUGAACGCGGUUGGGACAGCUUGUAAUCCAGCGGUCACCUGCUUUACAGGCACAAUACAAGUGUAAAUGUGUACUACUAAACACGCGGUGGGAUUUGAGUACAAUACACAUAAUGUGAAUUACAGUCAAGGUCGCAGCUAAUGGCUGUGGCAAGUUCAAUUCAACUGCAGCAACCCCCCUGGGAAACAGGAAAAGGUCUUAAGUUCCAUGUACUAAAUCUCACUCAUUUCUCUUCCGGGAGAUUAGGGCUUUGGUUUUGUUUUCAGAGGGAAGAUGUUGUAAAACAAAAACUGAAUUUUAAAGUGUUGGUGUUUUAAGCAUUUUUUUUGGUGAUUAUCUUUUCAACCGUAAUGGUUUGGCUUGAAUUUCUAAGUCUUUUAAAUUAAUUUUUUUUGGUUUCUAAAUGGUUGGACUCUGUUUACAAACACUUCAGCUCUUCUGUUCUGCUGGCUUCCUUUGGUCGAGGUGUGUUGUAUUUUAAUGUAUGAUUUAUGUAAGCAAAAAGAAAACCUUGUGGGUACUAACAUGUUACUAACUACAAAGGGUUCAAGUGUUUGUAGAACAAACUUAUUUGUGUAUAGCGUUUUUGUUUUUUUUUUUUUUUCAUUUGAAUGAACGGUCAAGUCAGGCUUUAGUGUGGGAGGAAUGGAGCAGCAGAAAGGAGCAUAGCAGAGGGAGAAGCCAGCAUGACUCUUCCUGAAGGCUUUUUGUCCUAUUGGUAUUGAAGAUAUUUGGCCAAAAUACAGUGACAAUGCACAAGUUUGGUGCAGAUGGCAAGAUAAAGAGUUUCACUUGAGCUAGAGCUAAUGAAGCAUCUACAGCCUUGUCUAAGUUAGUCAUUUGGAACAUGUUACUUGGAUAAACACAAAAGUGGAAAAUGAAGGCAGAGUGAAGCAGCUCAGGGAGCCACAACAAAGAAAAGAAGGAAGAGGAAUGUCAGAGGAUGGGUCUAAUCACAGAGAAAGGACAGCAGAAGAAGAGUGGAAGUGCAGGGGGAUCAAGUAGUAGGAAUGGGAGGCUGGGCUAGACCCAAGGCAAUGAAUAAUAGCAGAGUUGUGUAUGAAGCCAAUAAUUUUGUUUCUAAUACUUAUUUCUUCAGAAUUUGUCCUUGAACACAACUCUUCUUCAUGAGUAGCUUACUGUGACUGUAAGAGAAGAAGAGGACUAUCACCCUUCUAAAAGAGGCUUGGGAUAAUUACACAUGACACAGGUAACCACCUCCAGCUCUUACCAGACCCAGGGUUUCCACGUACCUGUCUUCAGCUGUAUUCCACAGGGAUCCCAUCACCUUUACAGACUAAGUUAAAACAUCUUCCAGCUGUCAGCGUUUUCAUUCCAGGUUUCAAGACACAAGAUAUCAGAACAUACUGGAAUGGUUUGUGUCUAUGACAGAUGACUGCCAGGAAGUACUUGCCUAUCCUACACUGGGUGAGAAAACCCUUAAUAUCAUCCUCUGUGUUCCUCAAGCAGUUUGUUCUCAGUAGAACAAUAAGCCUGUUGCAGACUCCUUUGAAGUCACCUAGCUCCAUUAGUGGUGCAAGGGACUCAAACACUCAGCUCUUAUUUUGUGGUAACCAUCUAGGGCUAUAAUAAAUUCAUGAGUAUCCUCCAUACAUGUUAAAGUAUUUUGGAUUUUUUUUUUCAAAGCAAACAAAGAGUUGCUCAGCUUGGGUCCAAAAAGGAAUAAUUUGUAUUUUGAAGUGGUUUAUUUAUUAAGAACAUGUCUCUACAGCCACCCCAGGCACCAAGAUAGUAAUUUUGGUUUUAAUAUUGUCAUAUAUGUGGCUGAAAGGUGCAGGAUAACCCCCAGGCCACGUUCUCUUCUUGAAGGGGUUCCUCUUGCUGUAGCACCUCAUGAUGAUAUUGCCUCUAGCGCACACAUUUCCAGUGGGAGAGUUCUCUCUUCCAAACUGUCUUGUUCUGUGAACCACACAACUGACCACAAACAACCUGAAAUCUUUCCAGCCAAUUUUCACUAUAGGCCAUUGCUCAGACAAUUCCAAAUGGAAAGGUGCAUAAAAAGAGCUUUGACAAGGGAAGUUAUGUGAUCUCAAACCUGUCUUCUCCUCUCUGUCUUGACACCCAUGCAAACACAUAAAGAAAUACACCCACCUCCCUUUAUCUCUGCUUUAUCUCCCUUAUGUGGGGUAAUUACCUG